AUUGAACGCUGGCGGCAGGCCUAACACAUGCAAGUCGAGCGGAGCGGCGGACGGGUGCGUAAUGCCAAGGCAUCUGCCUGGUAGUGGGGGAUAACGUCCGGCAACGGGCGCUAAUACCGCAUACUAUCAGAUGAGCCUAGGUCGGAUUCGCUAGUGGGUGGGGUAAAGUCCUACAAAGGCGACGAUCCGUAACUGGUCGGAGAGGAGGAUCAGUAAAACUGGAACUGAGAACCGGCCCAGACUCCUAGGGGAGGCAGAAGGGGGGAAUAUUGGACAAGGGGCGAAAGCCGGAUCCAGACAUGCCGCGUGUGUGAAGAAGGUCUUCGGAUUGUAAAGCACUUUAAGUGGGGAGGCGUUACCAACAGAAUAAGCACCGGCUAACUACGUGCCAGCAGCCGCGGUAAUAC
This 407-nucleotide ribosomal RNA is filed under the name uncultured bacterium. RNAcentral's name for it is "partial 16S ribosomal RNA". It matches the Rfam family "Bacterial small subunit ribosomal RNA", at positions 29 to 526 of the family's 1533-position model. The record is from RNAcentral.